CUACUCGACUCCUACGGGAGGCAGCAGUGGGGAAUUUUGGACAAUGGGCGCAAGCCUGAUCCAGCAAUGCCGCGUGCAGGAAGAAGGCCUUCGGGUUGUAAACUGCUUUUGUCAGGGAAGAAAUCUUCUGGGUUAAUACCUCGGGAGGAUGACGGUACCUGAAGAAUAAGCACCGGCUAACUACGUGCCAGCAGCCGCGGUAAUACGGAGGGUGCGAGCGUUAAUCGGAAUUACUGGGCGUAAAGCGCAUGCAGGUGGUUUGUUAAGUCAGAUGUGAAAGCCCGGGGCUCAACCUCGGAAUUGCAUUUGAAACUGGCAGACUAGAGUACUGUAGAGGGGGGUAGAAUUUCAGGUGUAGCGGUGAAAUGCGUAGAGAUCUGAAGGAAUACCGGUGGCGAAGGCGGCCCCCUGGACAGAUACUGACACUCAGAUGCGAAAGCGUGGGGAGCAAACAGGAUUAGAUACCCUGGUAG
Molecule: ribosomal RNA, 473 nt
Filed under: uncultured bacterium
Lineage: Bacteria
Description: bacterial SSU rRNA
Rfam family: Bacterial small subunit ribosomal RNA
Source: RNAcentral